This 497-nucleotide ribosomal RNA is filed under the name uncultured bacterium. RNAcentral describes it as "partial 16S ribosomal RNA". It matches the Rfam family "Bacterial small subunit ribosomal RNA", at positions 28 to 507 of the family's 1533-position model. The record is from RNAcentral.
GAUGAACGCUGGCGGCGUGCUUAACACAUGCAAGUCGAGCGGAAAGGUGCUGCGUUUGUGGGGCGGUCGUGUGGCGAGCGGGGGUGUGUCACGCGUGUAUCCUCUACUUGUCUUUGGGGUAUAUCUUGGAGACUCGGGAUCUUAUCGCAUAGGAUCUCUUGCUGCGCGUGGUUCAUUGGUGAAAUUCGGCGUUUCUGUAUGUUAUAGAUGGUUCCGCGCGGCAUGAUGUGGUUGGUAAGGUAACGGCUUAUCAAGGCAACGAUGCGUGGCCGACCUGAGAGGGUGAUCGGCCACACUGGAACUGAGACACGGUCCAGACUCCUACGGGAGGCAGCAGUAGGGAAUCUUACGCAAUGGGCGAAAGCCUGACGGAGCAACGCCGCGUGAGUGAUGAAGGUCUUCGGAGCGUAAAACUCUGUUAUUAGGGAAGAACAAAUGUGUAAGUAACUAUGCACGUCUUGACGGUACCUAAUCAGAAAGCCACGGCUAACUACGUG